CCUACGGGUGGCAGCAGUAGGGAAUAUUGCUCAAUGGGGGAAACCCUGAAGCAGCAACGCCGCGUGGAGGAUGAAGGUUUUCGGAUUGUAAACUCCUUUUGUUAGAGAAGAAAAUGACGGGAUCUAACGAAUAAGCACCGGCUAACUCCGUGCCAGCAGCCGCGGUAAUACGGAGGGUGCAAGCGUUACUCGGAAUCACUAGGCGUAAAGAGCGCGUAGGCGGGAUAGCAAGGCAGCUGUGAAAUCCUAUGGCUUAACCGUAGAACUGCAGUUGAAAAUGUGAUUCUAGAGUAUGGGAGAGGUAGGUGGAAUUCCUGGUGUAGGGGUGAAAUGCGUAGAGAUCAAGAGGAAUACUCAUUGCGAAGGCGACCUGCUGGACCGUAACUGACGCUGAUGCGCGAAAGCGUGGGGAGCAAACAGGAUUAGAUACCCCAGUAGUC
Molecule: ribosomal RNA, 440 nt
Filed under: uncultured bacterium
Lineage: Bacteria
Description: partial 16S ribosomal RNA
Rfam family: Bacterial small subunit ribosomal RNA
Source: RNAcentral